AUUGAACGCUGGCGGCAGGCCUAACACAUGCAAGUCGAACGGUAACAGGAAGAAGCUUGCUUCUUUGCUGACGAGUGGCGGACGGGUGAGUAAUGUCUGGGAAACUGCCUGAUGGAGGGGGAUAACUACUGGAAACGGUAGCUAAUACCGCAUAGCGUCGCAAGACCAAAGAGGGGGACCUUCGGGCCUCUUGCCAUCGGAUGUGCCCAGAUGGGAUUAGCUAGUAGGUGGGGUAACGGCUCACCUAGGCGACGAUCCCUAGCUGGUCUGAGAGGAUGACCAGCCACACUGGAACUGAGACACGGUCCAGACUCCUACGGGAGGCAGCAGUGGGGAAUAUUGCACAAUGGGCGCAAGCCUGAUGCAGCCAUGCCGCGUGUAUGAAGAAGGCCUUCGGGUUGUAAAGUACUUUCAGCGGGGAGGAAGGGAGUAAAGUUAAUACCUUUACUCAUUGACGUUACCCGCAGAAGAAGCACCGGCUAACUCCGUG
RNAcentral lists this ribosomal RNA (490 nucleotides) under uncultured bacterium. RNAcentral's name for it is "partial 16S ribosomal RNA". It matches the Rfam family "Bacterial small subunit ribosomal RNA", at positions 30 to 507 of the family's 1533-position model. The record is from RNAcentral.